This 253-nucleotide ribosomal RNA is filed under the name uncultured bacterium. RNAcentral describes it as "partial 16S ribosomal RNA". It matches the Rfam family "Bacterial small subunit ribosomal RNA", at positions 524 to 776 of the family's 1533-position model. The record is from RNAcentral.
UACAGAGGGGGCGAGCGUUAUUCGGAAUUAUUGGGCGUAAAGGGCGCGUAGGCGGCUUUUCAAGUGACGGGUGAAAGCCCUCGGCUUAACCGAGGAACUGCCUGUCAGACUGGAAGGCUUGAGACCGGGAGAGGUGAGUGGAAUUCCCAGUGUAGCGGUGAAAUGCGUAGAUAUUGGGAGGAACACCAGUGGCGAAAGCGGCUUCCUGGUCCAGCACCGACGUUCAGGCACGAAAGCGUGGGGAGCAAACAGG